CUUGAGUGGAGUCUACUAGAGCAAUUUCUGUUGCUAGAUCUAAGCCCUGUGGUAGUUGAUUGGAUAAAUAAAGGUCACCUCUAAUAUAAUCCACAGACCAAUCGUGUUUAAAAGAGUGGUGGAAUGGCACAGCUACCUUAUGACACCUCUUCCUCGGAGAAGAAAAAUUUCCUCCUCCACCCCCACAUUCCUCUUUCUUGGAGAAAAACAAGGGUAUUUUUGUCUGUUUCUUCUUUUUCUUUUUUGGGGAGGCUGUGCCUGUAAGAAUAGUAAUCCCUAGCUCCUUGGUUGCAUGUCGUGUAAGUACCAUAAUUAUUGGAGCAUAGGUUGAUAAAAAGAAGGAUAAGUUUCAGCAGGAUUUGAAGCAGCUGCAAUCUACACAGCUUAAAGUAUCCGUUUUGAUAUAGCUAUGCCUUAUUUACUUUUCAUUUGCCAGCGUUUCUCUCUCACAGCUUAUCUCUCCCACAGCUUUCUUCAUGAGUUGCUUUGGAAUUAACUCUGAGGUUCACAGAGAAAAGUGGACGAUAUUGAGCAGAAGUUCUCAUCCAAGGAGUAAUAUGCAAAUACAGAAUCUCAUUGUGUUCCAGGAAAUGGGGAAUAUGUGAUUCACCAGAUAUUUUUGGACUCUAACUCUCAUUACCUUGAUGAUUGGCCAUGCUGGCUAUGGCUGAUGACUUUGGAGUCAGUUGGAGUAUAUAUAUAUAACCAACCAAAGAGAUAGUAGCCCUUAGGAUACUCAAGGAAUCAUUUAAAUAAAAAGCCUUCUGAAAUAAA
Rhineura floridana is the source of this 774-nucleotide long non-coding RNA. RefSeq lists it as uncharacterized. The transcript has 2 exons. Lineage: Eukaryota; Metazoa; Chordata; Lepidosauria; Squamata; Rhineuridae. The record is from RefSeq and is a predicted model, not a curated record.